RNAcentral lists this unclassified non-coding RNA (473 nucleotides) under uncultured Glomus. RNAcentral describes it as "SSU rRNA". It matches the Rfam family "Eukaryotic small subunit ribosomal RNA", at positions 569 to 1048 of the family's 1831-position model. The record is from RNAcentral. Lineage: Eukaryota; Fungi; Glomeromycota; Glomeromycetes; Glomerales; Glomeraceae.
AGCAGCCGCGGUAAUUCCAGCUCCAAUAGCGUAUAUUAAAGUUGUUGCAGUUAAAAAGCUCGUAGUUGAAUUUCGGGAUCAGUUGAUCGGUCGUGCCUCGGUACGUACUGGUCAAAUUGAUUCCUACCUUCUGACGAACCACGAUGUCAUUAAUUUGGUGUCGCGGGAAAUCAGGACUGUUACUUUGAAAAAUUAGAGUGUUUAAAGCAGGCUCGCGCUUGAAUACAUUAGCAUGGAAUAAUGAAAUAGGACGUUUGAUUCUAUUUUGUUGGUUUCUAGGAUCGACGUAAUGAUUAAUAGGGAUAGUUGGGGGCAUUAGUAUUCAAUUGUCAGAGGUGAAAUUCUUGGAUUUAUUGAAGACUAACUACUGCGAAAGCAUUUGCCAAGGAUGUUUUCAUUAAUCAAGAACGAAAGUUAGGGGAUCGAAGACGAUCAGAUACCGUCGUAGUCUUAACCAUAAACUAUGCCGACUA